GGCGCAGUCCGGUUAGCGUACACGGCUGGGGGCCGUGUGGUCGCAGGUUCAAAUCCUGUC
Molecule: transfer RNA, 60 nt
Filed under: Flavobacteriaceae bacterium
Lineage: Bacteria; Pseudomonadati; Bacteroidota; Flavobacteriia; Flavobacteriales; Flavobacteriaceae
Description: tRNA-Pro
Rfam family: tRNA
About the family: Transfer RNA (tRNA) molecules are approximately 80 nucleotides in length. Their secondary structure includes four short double-helical elements and three loops (D, anti-codon, and T loops).
Source: RNAcentral